GUGAGGAAUUUUCUGCAAUGGGCGAAAGCCUGACAGAGCAAUACCGCGUGAGGGAAGAAGGCUUACUGAGUUGUAAACCUCGGUGCCUUAAGGAAGAAGAUCUGACGGUACUUAAGGUGGAAAGCAUCGGCUAACCCCGUGCCAGCAGCCGCGGUAAGACGGGGGAUGCAAGUGUUAUCCGGAAUUACUGGGCGUAAAGCGUCUGCAGGUGGUUUCUUAAGUCCACUGUUAAACCUUGAGGCUCAACCUCAAAUCUGCAGUGGAAACUAGGGAACUUGAGGAUAGUAGGGGUAGAGGGAAUUUCCAGUGGAGCGGUGAAAUGCGUAGAUAUUGGAAAGAACACCGAUGGCGAAGGCACUCUACUGGGCUAUGACUGACACUCAGAGACGAAAGCUAGGGGAGCAAAUGGGAUUAGAUACCCGUGUAGUCC
Molecule: ribosomal RNA, 430 nt
Filed under: uncultured bacterium
Lineage: Bacteria
Description: bacterial SSU rRNA
Rfam family: Bacterial small subunit ribosomal RNA
Source: RNAcentral